AGUGGAGUGGUUUAGACCACCACCAGGGGUCGAAACCAACAAAGCCAACCUGGUUUGGAAAAGCUGACGAUCUCUCCCUCUCUCCCCAUAGGGUACGGGCCGCCCCAGGACACAGCUGGAUGGCAGCUGUAGAGCAUUUGGAUGUGAAGUGGGUGGGUGGGUGGUGCGGCUGUGGUGGGGAGGGUUCCUGGCAUCGUGAUUUGGUGGAUAAACAGAAAUGAAAAUCACAUUGCCAGGGAUUUCCACUCCUGCACAGUUCUUCAGGUGUCCCACACCUACAAAGCCUCCCGCUGGAAUGACAGAUAAUGGCUUACUGGAAUAUCGGCGAAGGCAAAAGGGCAUCUGGCAAGUUUCAAAAAGGAUGCAAACCUCAUUUGACACCCACAGCGCUUAGGCCUGAUAUCAGACGAUUUCUGAAGAGCAUUUUUGAAGCUCAAAGUGGGCGGAGCAGGCCAUCGCCAUCUUGACAGCACGUCACUGUGCGUCACUCCCGGAUAAUCAAAGAAGAGGUGGGAGCUGGUUGCUGAAUCCACACCCACCUAGGUCGAAGGCAGUUACAGCAGCGGCAAUCCACCUGUCACUCAAGUGGCCACGCCCUUAAUUAUGCAGAAUUUUAAGGCUUACUAUAAUUUAAAUGGAUGCGUUAUAAAUAAAUAAAAAAACACCCCCUCAUAGGUUAGCUAUAUAGUUGGGUAUUUUUAACAUGGGGACUCCCUUUUGGAGCCAGCCUCUAGUGGCAAGUCGAUGAAUUGCAGUUUUAGUCACUUCUGUGUUGGUUUCAUGAGAGAGAGAUUGGUAGGUUGCCACUUGGUUGGCAUACGUUUUAAAAUUUUCAGAUCAUUUUGUACCUUUUUGAAAUUAAGGGUUAAAUCCAAGUGUGUUUUAUACAGUAUUUUGUCUAAAUGACGGAAAAUUGUAAGAAAUAAAGUUUUCAACUUAGCAAAGUUUUAGAGGCAGAGACAUCCAAUGUCUAUUGUAAAAAGAGCUGCCAUGUGUUUAAGAACAGCUUUGGCAAAUUCACAUGACCAACUUGAAUCCAUUGCGAAAUCUGCAUGGGCAAAUAUUUCUAAAUACUAAAGUGACUGAAUUUCGCCAUUGAAAAUUUGUUGAACAACCGCACCUAAACUUAAAACAUGUUUGAGAACAUGAUGGAUUGUCGUUGUAGAUGUUUGCUCUUGCCAGCUGCGGUAACUUAUGGCUUCCCUGAAAUGUGAUGUCGUAACCAACCUUUAUUUUUCCAGACAAAUCCUCUCAGAUUAUUUGAAGAAUUGCGAUGGUGUGGUGUUGACAAAACAAUAAAGGGCUGUGCCCUCUUGUGCCUGCUAAACUGGUAUCAGUUUCUUGAAUAAAUGCUGGCUCAGUUCAGCAGGAACAGGAGUGAAGCCCACUGCUGCACUCUCCUCCAAUCAGAAUGCAGCAUGCGUCAGUAUCCUCCAAUCAGCACGCAGUGUCCUCUACUCUCAUCCAGUUAGCAUGAAGUGUGCUUCACUUUUUCCCGGUUACAUAAACAUCUGUCAUCACUGAAUAUAAAACAUGUUUUCAAGCGAACCAACCUCGAUGAAAUAUGAAUGGUUAACCAAUUUUUUGCAUACUUAUUAAAGCCAUAUCCAUAUUUUUAGCACUGCAUGUUGUUCUCAGCACACGCAUGCCAUGGGAAUGCACGAUAUUGGAAUCUGAAGAUGUAUGUUCAGCUGGCUUUACCUCAUGUUCGGCGUGCAUGAGAAACACUAGCAGUGUCUCUGCGUGUUAAAGAUAGUUCGAAUGAAUCAUGGUGGGAGACUUAUUUUAGGUGGCGGCGUCAUAUUCAUUUACGCAUAAAAAAUUGAAGACUUCAGGUAGAUCAUAAAUCUAAUUCAGACUGUUAACUUUCUGAAGCUAACUUUGGCUUUUCCUUUUCUGUAUCUUACCAGAACCAUUAGAGGAAAGAUUACAACUGGACAAAUUUUAAGUUAAUUAAUCGGAUAUCAUUUAGAUUUACAUACAUAAAUAGAAAAUAGCAUUUUCAUAGUUCUCUUUGUCUAAUAUGUACCAAAAUUCAAAAGGUUCAAGUGUAAAGUAGAUUGGAAAUGUGUGUGGUUUUGGUAAAAUACUAAUGGCAUUAGUAUGUCAUUGCUAAGGUUUAUGGCACAUUUUAUAAUGUAUUAUGUGUUAAAAAAAUUAAUCAAAAACUACUUAGUCCAAAAUAUAUAAAAUACUACUCAAAAUGCUGCAUAAUUGGACUGUGUCUCGUUCAUUGAUCUGUUAUCUCUGAAGGACAGUUUCUGAGAGACAUACUGCAGAUCUCUUGGCCUUACUUGAACCGUUCUCCUCGGUCUGCAGCAUUGACAGCUACUUGGAAAGAUUUGUGCUGCUCAGAAACAAUUAUAGGUCAUAAAUGCAUCAGCGGGAAGGAGCUGCAGGGAUAAAAGCGAAAAGCCUCUUAUUUUAGUUUCACAGCGAUUUCAGAGUCCUUUUAUCAUGCGCUCAGAGACUGACCAGAUUUCGUGACGUGGCCUCCUUAAGUUGUUUGAUAUUGUUUUUUUUUUGGUUCCCUGCGCCACCGUGUAGUCAGUGUGUUCGCGGUCCAGACCAGAGCUGUGCACUUUAUAAUUGAUUUAACUUGAACAAGACCAGCUGUGCAAUAAAGGAGCAAAGCUGCAUUGAGAAACCCGCGGCGCUGUGUCCGUAGAUCCUCCUGGAUCACGAUUCGGCGUGAAAAGAAAAGGAUUUCACAUGUGUGCUGAAAGUAUAACUUUUCCACAUAUUUAUAAAAAUACAUUUAUGGACAUGUUGACACCACAUGAAUGCCUGUGAGGUCCAUUUGCGACGGACGAACAGUCGUCCAAUCAGCAUGCAGCAUGUUUUCCUCUCCUCCAAUCAGCAUGCAGACAUUACUUAGGCUCGUUUUCUCAGGCAACGACUGGGUUAAUUUUAUCUUCGACGAUCUGGCAAGCAUUUCUCAAGUUAAAUCAUGUAGCAACUGAAUAACGAUAAACACAUGCUUAAUUUCUUGUCCUAAAUGGAAGAAUCCUGUUUAUGGUGCCUAGAGCCAAAUUUAUAUCACACAGUGAAAUGAUAUGCAAAUCACCCUAAUAAGCAGGGAACACGUUUAUCUGAUCUGUUCGUUGUAUCUGAUUGAUGGAGAUGUUUUUUCCAAAGAUGCCAAAACAACACGAUUAUCUUAAUUAAAUAAGACACUAGACAAUGAGAA
This is a long non-coding RNA of Carassius gibelio (silver crucian carp), 3190 nucleotides long. RefSeq lists it as uncharacterized. The record is from RefSeq and is a predicted model, not a curated record. NCBI's taxonomy places the organism in Eukaryota, Metazoa, Chordata, Actinopteri, Cypriniformes, Cyprinidae. The transcript is spliced from 3 exons.